GAUGAACGCUGGCGGCGUGCCUAAUACAUGCAAGUCGAGCGAACAGACGAGGAGCUUGCUCCUCUGACGUUAGCGGCGGACGGGUGAGUAACACGUGGAUAACCUACCUAUAAGACGGGGAUAACUUCGGGAAACCGGAGCUAAUACCGGAUAAUAUAUUGAACCGCAUGGUUCAAUAGUGAAAGACGGUUUUGCUGUCACUUAUAGAUGGAUCCGCGCCGCAUUAGCUAGUUGGUAAGGUAACGGCUUACCAAGGCAACGAUGCGUAGCCGACCUGAGAGGGUGAUCGGCCACACUGGAACUGAGCCACGGUCCAGACUCCUACGGGAGGCAGCAGUAGGGAAUCUUGCGCAAUGGGCGAAAGCCUGACGGAGCAACGCCGCGUGAGUGAUGAAGGUCUUCGGAUCGUAAAACUCUGUUAUUAGGGAAGAACAAAUGUGUAAGUAACUAUGCACGUCUUGACGGUACCUAAUCAGAAAGCCACGGCUAACUACGUG
RNAcentral lists this ribosomal RNA (497 nucleotides) under uncultured bacterium. RNAcentral's name for it is "partial 16S ribosomal RNA". It matches the Rfam family "Bacterial small subunit ribosomal RNA", at positions 28 to 507 of the family's 1533-position model. The record is from RNAcentral.